This 253-nucleotide ribosomal RNA is filed under the name uncultured bacterium. RNAcentral describes it as "partial 16S ribosomal RNA". It matches the Rfam family "Bacterial small subunit ribosomal RNA", at positions 524 to 776 of the family's 1533-position model. The record is from RNAcentral.
UACGUAGGGAGCAAGCGUUGUCCGGAUUUACUGGGUGUAAAGGGUGCGUAGGCGGCUUUGCAAGUCAGGGGUGAAAGCCCGGGGCCCAACCCCGGGACUGCCCUUGGAACUGCAUGGCUGGAGUGCGGGAGGGGCAGGCGGAAUUCCUGGUGUAGCGGUGAAAUGCGUAGAUAUCAGGAGGAACACCGGCGGCGAAGGCGGCCUGCUGGACCGCGACUGACGUUGAGGCUCGAAAGCGUGGGGAGCGAACAGG